AAGCGUGCACGGUGGAUGCCUUGGCAGUCAGAGGCGAUGAAAGACGUGACAGCCUGCGAAAAGCGUCGGGGAGGCGGCAAUAUCCUGUGAUCCGGCGAUAUCUGAAUGGGGAAACCCACUUGUCAUAAGACAGGUAUCGUAAAUUUAUUUACGAGGCAAACCGGGAGAAGUGAAACAUCUCAGUAACCCGAGGAAAAGACAUCAAUAGAGAUUCCCCUAGUAGCGGCGAGCGAACGGGGAGGAGCCGACUGAUUAUAAUUUAGAGGAAUGACUUGGAAAGGUCAAUCGUAGAGGGUGAUAAUCCCGUACUCGAAAGGUUAUAAGAAGCAUAUUAAGUAGGGCGGAACACGAGAAAUUCUGUCUGAAGAUGGGGGGACCAUCCUCCAAGGCUAAAUACUCCUGACUGACCGAUAGUGAACCAGUACCGUGAGGGAAAGGCGAAAAGAACCCCUGUGAGGGGAGUGAAAUAGAUCCUGAAACCGUGUGCAUACAAGCAGUCGGAGCGGACAUGUUCCGUGACGGCGUACCUUUUGUAUAAUGGGUCAGCGACUUUGUCUCUCGAGCAAGCUUAAGCCGGUAGGUGUAGGCGCAGCGAAAGCGAGUCUGAAUAGGGCGACGAGUUCGAGGGAUAAGACCCGAAACCGAGUGAUCUAGCCAUGUGCAGGUUGAAGGUGCGGUAACACGCACUGGAGGACCGAACCCACGUCUGUUGAAAAAGACGGGGAUGACGUGUGGCUAGGGGUGAAAGGCCAAUCAAACUCGGAGAUAGCUGGUUCUCCGCGAAAUCUAUUUAGGUAGAGCGUCUCGUAUUACCUUCGGGGGUAGAGCACUGGAUGGGCUAGGGGGUCCCAACGACUUACCAAACCUAACCAAACUCCGAAUACCGAAGAGUAGAGCGAGGCAGACACACUGCGGGUGCUAAGGUCCGUAGUGGAGAGGGAAACAGCCCUGACCGCCAGCUAAGGUCCCUAAGUUAUCACUAAGUGGGAAACGAUGUGGGAAUGCUUAGACAACCAGGAGGUUGGCUUAGAAGCAGCCAUCCUUUAAAGAAAGCGUAACAGCUCACUGGUCAAGCGUUCCUGCGCGGAAAAUGUAACGGGGCUUAAGUGAUACACCGAAGCUGCGGACUCGAAAGAGUGGUAGCGGAGCGUUCUGUAAGUCUGUGAAGGUGGCCUGCGAGGGCUGCUGGAGAUAUCAGAAGUGAGAAUGCUGACAUGAGUAGCGAUAAAGAGGGUGAGAGGCCCUCUCGCCGAAAGUCCAAGGGUUCCUGCGCAAUGCUAAUCAGCGCAGGGUAAGCCGGCCCCUAAGGCGAGGCCGAAAGGCGUAGUCGAUGGGAACCAGGUUAAUAUUCCUGGGCCAGCGGGUAGUGACGGAUUGCGGACGUUGUGCACUCUUACUGGAUUGAGUGUGCAGCCAAGCCGUCCCUGGAAAUAGCUCCCGCAUGAGACCGUACCCCAAACCGACACAGGUGGACUGGUAGAGCAUACCAAGGCGCUUGAGAGAACUCUGUUGAAGGAACUCGGCAAAUUACUCCCGUAAGUUCGCGAGAAGGGAGCCUGGCAUUAGGCAACUGGUGUCCAGGGGCACAGACCAGGGGGUGGCGACUGUUUAUUAAAAACACAGGGCUCUGCGAAGUCGCAAGACGACGUAUAGGGUCUGACGCCUGCCCGGUGCCGGAAGGUUAAAAGGAGGGGUGAGAGCUCCGAAUUGAAGCCCCGGUAAACGGCGGCCGUAACUAUAACGGUCCUAAGGUAGCGAAAUUCCUUG
RNAcentral lists this ribosomal RNA (1767 nucleotides) under Chattonella subsalsa. RNAcentral's name for it is "partial Bacterial large subunit ribosomal RNA". It matches the Rfam family "Bacterial large subunit ribosomal RNA", at positions 13 to 1971 of the family's 2925-position model. The record is from RNAcentral. Lineage: Eukaryota; Raphidophyceae; Chattonellales; Chattonellaceae.